CUACGGAGGGUGCAAGCGUUACUCGGAAUCACUGGGCGUAAAGCGCGCGCAGGCGGGCUGAUAAGUUGGAUGUGAAAGCCUACGGCUCAACCGUAGAACUGCAUCCAAAACUGUCAGUCUAGAGUGUGGGAGAGGAAGAUGGAAUUAGUUGUGUAGGGGUAAAAUCCGUAGAGAUAACUAGGAAUACCAAAAGCGAAGGCAAUCUUCUGGGACACUACUGACGCUGAGGCGCGAAGGCGUGGGGAGCAAACAGGAUUAGAAACCCCAGUAGUCC
This 274-nucleotide ribosomal RNA is filed under the name uncultured bacterium. RNAcentral's name for it is "partial 16S ribosomal RNA". It matches the Rfam family "Bacterial small subunit ribosomal RNA", at positions 523 to 796 of the family's 1533-position model. The record is from RNAcentral.